This 775-nucleotide ribosomal RNA is filed under the name Escherichia coli. RNAcentral describes it as "partial 23S ribosomal RNA". It matches the Rfam family "Bacterial large subunit ribosomal RNA", at positions 397 to 1170 of the family's 2925-position model. Lineage: Bacteria; Pseudomonadati; Pseudomonadota; Gammaproteobacteria; Enterobacterales; Enterobacteriaceae. The record is from RNAcentral.
CUGUGAGCUCGAUGAGUAGGGCGGGACACGUGGUAUCCUGUCUGAAUAUGGGGGGACCAUCCUCCAAGGCUAAAUACUCCUGACUGACCGAUAGUGAACCAGUACCGUGAGGGAAAGGCGAAAAGAACCCCGGCGAGGGGAGUGAAAAAGAACCUGAAACCGUGUACGUACAAGCAGUGGGAGCACAGAGCAAUCUGUGUGACUGCGUACCUUUUGUAUAAUGGGUCAGCGACUUAUAUUCUGUAGCAAGGUUAACCGAAUAGGGGAGCCGAAGGGAAACCGAGUCUUAACUGGGCGUUAAGUUGCAGGGUAUAGACCCGAAACCCGGUGAUCUAGCCAUGGGCAGGUUGAAGGUUGGGUAACACUAACUGGAGGACCGAACCGACUAAUGUUGAAAAAUUAGCGGAUGACUUGUGGCUGGGGGUGAAAGGCCAAUCAAACCGGGAGAUAGCUGGUUCUCCCCGAAAGCUAUUUAGGUAGCGCCUCGUGAAUUCAUCUCCGGGGGUAGAGCACUGUUUCGGCAAGGGGGUCAUCCCGACUUACCAACCCGAUGCAAACUGCGAAUACCGGAGAAUGUUAUCACGGGAGACACACGGCGGGUGCUAACGUCCGUCGUGAAGAGGGAAACAACCCAGACCGCCAGCUAAGGUCCCAAAGUCAUGGUUAAGUGGGAAACGAUGUGGGAAGGCCCAGACAGCCAGGAUGUUGGCUUAGAAGCAGCCAUCAUUUAAAGAAAGCGUAAUAGCUCACUGGUCGAGUCGGCCUGCGCGGAAGA